UCGCGCUAGAUGGGGAGUCAGCGGUGCCCUGUACCCGCAAUCCGCUAUAGCGGGGUCGAACUCCCUUCUGAGGGCUCGGGAACCAAGGUGGUCCCGGGUGAAGGCGUCGAAGGUCGGACCCUGCGCAGCCCGAAACUCAUGAACCCCGUCAGGUCCGGAAGGAAGCAGCGGUAAGUGGGCGACGGGGGUGCCGCAGGCAGUUCGGCCGGAGCCUUCACCUCGGCAAGGCGCCUAGGGGCUCCGGGAUCGAAGAAGGGUGCGCGA
RNAcentral lists this signal recognition particle RNA (264 nucleotides) under Candidatus Dormiibacterota bacterium. Its description in RNAcentral is "signal recognition particle sRNA large type". It matches the Rfam family "Bacterial large signal recognition particle RNA". From Rfam's summary of the family: The signal recognition particle (SRP) is a universally conserved ribonucleoprotein involved in the co-translational targeting of proteins to membranes. The record is from RNAcentral. Lineage: Bacteria; Bacillati; Candidatus Dormiibacterota.